Molecule: long non-coding RNA, 956 nt
Filed under: Pongo abelii (Sumatran orangutan)
Lineage: Eukaryota; Metazoa; Chordata; Mammalia; Primates; Hominidae
Description: lincRNA
Source: RNAcentral
AAGGCGGUGCUGGGAGCCGCUCAGAGCUCAGAGAAGCGGCGCGCGGCCAGGAGCCCCCGCUCCGCCACUGCCGUGCCUGCCUCCCGCAGCUGUCUGCCAUGCGCUCGCCGGGGCAGGGGCGCCCGGAGAGCGGCGAGAGCUGGGCCUGAGCCCGGGAACGCGCCUGAUCGGGGUGGCGGAGCCGCGGUCCCCACAGCCGCCCCACCCGCGCCGCUGCCUCGUUGGGGCCCGGGCCCCCUUCCCGUUACUCCCCUGCUGGUGCCUCCCUCCCUGGCGCGGUUCCCACCUGCGAUCGGCGCCCUCUUCGCAGUCACGAACUCGCCAGCAGCUAGCAGCACUGACUAGUAGGAGGGCCCGCCGGAGGAGAGGACAUGCUCUGGAGUCAGAAGACGGCGAAAAGAGAAGCAGAAGCCUCGGUGGCAAGAGUCCGAAGCAGGACGCAAUCACUGUAACCUGUGGAUUGUACUGCAGUAGGAAACUAUCCUAGCGAGGCUCUGCUUUGCCCCAGCUUCAAGCUGGAAAGGAGGAGAACAUGAAACGUUGCUUGAAGACAAUGGCCGAGACAGCAGGUCCCACCCUGCACAGCCACCAGCAUCUCUCCCCUCAGCCCUGUCUCCUCUUCUGCAGUUGGGAUCUGCACAUUUAAGCCCCAAAUUGUCCUGUGAAGUGAAGUAUGAUCGGACAGCCUCUUUUCAGCUUUUAUGAAAAUGGAGACAGAGGAAUUGUGGCUCUUGCCAAGGUCACAGGAUUGGAAUGCAGAGCCAAGCCACCCCAGGACAUGCAAGAGCCUCAGAAGGGAAAAAGCCCAGCAGGAAGGGAGAACAAGUAGCCUCUGUCCUGAGGUUGUAACAGCCAAGGGCCAGGAUGGAGGAGGAGGACCCCAUGAUCUGCCCAUCUGGCACUUGGCAGGGGACCUGGGAAAAUGUACCCCAACCCAUCCCUCAAGGGCCUUUGCC